GUUCACUUCUUCUUGCGGUAUUCGGCAAUCCCCCAAUAGUGUCGUCCGAACAGCAAGAAGCUAUGCCAAAUGAAAAGUCUUUCAGGUCACCGAAUAUUCAGAAACCGCCAUGGUCUGUGCGUUCUAAAGUCGUUAUUCAUGGAAUCUGGGCAAUAGCAAUAUGCUGUAAAGGAUUUGCUUAUUUCUUACCAAUGGUUAUAUUACCAAAACACUUGAUAGACCUUGGUUAUAAGGAAGUCGACGCAGUGAAAGUUAUAUCAGUAUUUGGGACCGUAGGUGCGAUUGGACAGGCGUUUGCCUCAUUGGUUGGGGAUUAUGUGAAGGGAUAUAUUAUGGUGGCGAACCUUGUGGCGGCUACGAUGCUCACUGUGAAUAAUAUUAUUGCAGCAUAUUCGACAUCUUUGACUGCUGUUUAUGUAUAUUGUGCUGGUGGUCUCGGGGUUUUUUCUUGGUCCAUACCUUGCCGGGUAUUAUGCUGUCAACAAUGAAAUCAUGGACGGAGAGAAUAUCUAUACGUUAUUCUUGACAAUGCGUUUGAGCAAAGGAGUCGGAGCUACCGUGGGACCCUACUUGGCAGGACAUAUCCGUGACGUCACAGGCAGCUACCAGGCAGUGUUCCUGUCCAUUGCGUCAUGUUUUGGCAUGUUUAUUUUGGCAACGUUUUUACUCAUAUGCAACAAGAAGUGGAGAUAUUUGAAGUCUUGAUUGAUGAACGAUAGCAAUGAAUGUGACUAAAA
RNAcentral lists this unclassified non-coding RNA (737 nucleotides) under Lingula anatina. RNAcentral describes it as "monocarboxylate transporter 13-like, transcript variant X1". The record is from RNAcentral. Lineage: Eukaryota; Metazoa; Brachiopoda; Lingulata; Lingulida; Lingulidae.